CCUACGGGAGGCAGCAGUGAGGAAUAUUGGUCAAUGGGCGCAAGCCUGAACCAGCCAAGUCGCGUGAGGGAAGACGGUCCUAUGGAUUGUAAACCGCUUUUGUAGGGGAGCAAAAUCCGCCACGCGUGGCGUUCCGAGCGUACCCUACGAAAAAGCAUCGGCUAACUCCGUGCCAGCAGCCGCGGUAUUACGGAGGAUGCGAGCGUUAUCCGGAUUUAUUGGGUUUAAAGGGUGCGCAGGCGGAAGAUCAAGUCAGCGGUAAAAUUGAGAGGCUCAACCCCUUCGAGCCGUUGAAACUGGUGUGCUGGAGUGAGUGAGAAGUAGGCGGAAUGCGUGGUGUAGCGGUGAAAUGCAUAGAUAUCACGCAGAACUCCGAUUGCGAAGGCAGCAUACCGGAGCUCAACUGACGCUCAUGCACGAAAGUGUGGGUAUCGAACAGGAUUAGAUACCCCUGUAGUC
Molecule: ribosomal RNA, 459 nt
Filed under: uncultured bacterium
Lineage: Bacteria
Description: partial 16S ribosomal RNA
Rfam family: Bacterial small subunit ribosomal RNA
Source: RNAcentral